RNAcentral lists this transfer RNA (71 nucleotides) under Loxodonta africana (African savanna elephant). It matches the Rfam family "tRNA". From Rfam's summary of the family: Transfer RNA (tRNA) molecules are approximately 80 nucleotides in length. Their secondary structure includes four short double-helical elements and three loops (D, anti-codon, and T loops). The record is from Rfam by way of RNAcentral. Lineage: Eukaryota; Metazoa; Chordata; Mammalia; Proboscidea; Elephantidae.
GCAUUGGUGGUUCAAUGGCAGAAUUCUGGUCUUCCAUGUGGGAGACCCAGGUUCGAUUCCUCGUCAAUGCG